Non-coding RNA from Misgurnus anguillicaudatus (oriental weatherfish), 521 nucleotides. NCBI's taxonomy places the organism in Eukaryota, Metazoa, Chordata, Actinopteri, Cypriniformes, Cobitidae. The record is from RefSeq and is a predicted model, not a curated record.
UGUUUAAAUAUUUGUUAUAUUUCCUGUUAAUCAGGUCAUAUGUACACUGAUACAAGUUUCAAGGUUGGGUUAGAUUUAUAAUAAAAGCUCCAGGAUUACUGACACACAGCAGGGACGUCUUAUCUGAAGCUGCCUACAAACAAAACAAGACAUCUUCUGGAACAAAAUAUAAUUUUGUCUGAAAUAACAAGAUCAUGAAGUUCCAUCAGUCUGUUGUGAUUCUUCUGCUGGUCUUGUGUGCCUCUUUGUCCACUGAUGCUCAACCAGCAGAUGUAAGGCACACAAUAGGGGCGACAUACACACAGGAUGUCAACACUGGGCUAAGGCAUCAACAGUGCGCAUUGUUCUGGCAUGUGAACGUGGGUGGCCGGUACAUUUUCAACGUGUAGAAAAUUAUCCUUAAAAUAGUCUCAACUACUUCCAUGUUUCAAUUGUGUUCAAUUUUGUGUCAUUUUUUACACUGGGUUGCCCCAGUGCAACAGAUAUAUUGUAUGCAGUAAUAAAAUGUAAUCAAAAAUGUU